UGCAGAAGGGUGAAAUAGAAAACUAAUUGCUGAAAUUUUAUCAAUUUAACUUCUUCUUCUUUAUUUAUUUAUUCAUUUUUUUUUUUUGUAUAAAAGACCAGAGAUCUCAAGUAUAUCCAAGAUCUUUAGCUUUCUUUUAAGCUUCGCCUCUCUCUCUUUCUCUCUCACAACGGGAAUGAGCAACGACGAUAUGGUCAAGUCCAACAGCGCAUCUGGUGAUUGUGGUCCGUCGAUUUGUUCAGGUAAGAUCGAUGAUGAGAGACCCAUUUAUUCCAACUACUUUUUUCGUUUUACCUCCUUUAGCUUUAUGUGAGUUUGAUCAAAACUAUAACCAAAUUGCUCUCUUUCAUCGAUCAUUUUUGAAUCAAGAGCAAGUCAAUGGAAUCAUAAUCCCUAGAUUCAGAAUGUUGUGUGCCAUGGAGAGAAACAUCAGGUCUCAAUCGCAAUUUAGGUACCGCGCCAAUUCUAUCAUGGUGGACCACGAGGGACUAGCUGAAUAUAAGAAGAAGAAGAAGGAGAAUGAUAUACCACGCAUUGCCAAGGCUAAAGCGAUAUAUAUAAUGGAAUAAAGCUUAUUGCAGAACACAGAGCAUUGGAGGACCCAUCAGAGCAUUCAGAAAAGUGGAAGCGUAUAUCAAAGAAUAUGUCAGAUGGUGUGCUUACAAAAAAAAGUCUCAGGGCUGCACUUAUAAAAGAAUAUCAAGCUCAGGAACAACCCUCAACGGAAGUCCACUCUACCCAAGGUGAUGGUGGAUAUUCUCUGGAUUUCCUCUUGGGGAGUGUCUCACACAAUAAUUAAGAUGCAAAUGUUGGAGGAAGAAAUGAAUAGAAUUCUAGGUCUCACUAUUUCCCCACUUUUUGACAUUUGUACUUCGACAGAGCCUUUGUGAGGCACCUGAGGGUUCUCAGCAGCAGAUUGGGGCACGUUUGGCUUCACAAUCUUCUCAGACGUAGAACCUUACUUUCUAUUCACAUUCUACUUAUACUCAAAGAAAAUUAUGUGCUGAACUAGGAAAAUAUUUUGGCUUUUAUUGGUUUCUCAGUGAUUAUGAUAAGAAAAAAGUAGUUAGG
Rosa rugosa (rugosa rose) is the source of this 1071-nucleotide RNA transcript. RefSeq lists it as uncharacterized. The record is from RefSeq and is a predicted model, not a curated record. The transcript has 4 exons. Lineage: Eukaryota; Viridiplantae; Streptophyta; Magnoliopsida; Rosales; Rosaceae.